This 468-nucleotide ribosomal RNA is filed under the name uncultured bacterium. Its description in RNAcentral is "partial 16S ribosomal RNA". It matches the Rfam family "Bacterial small subunit ribosomal RNA", at positions 28 to 507 of the family's 1533-position model. The record is from RNAcentral.
GACGAACGCUGGCGGCGUGCUUAACACAUGCAAGUCGAACGGAAAGGCCCUGCUUUUGUGGGGUGCUCGAGUGGCGAACGGGUGAGUAACACGUGAGUAACCUGCCCUUGACUUUGGGAUAACUUCAGGAAACUGGGGCUAAUACCGGAUAGGAGCUCCUGCUGCAUGGUGGGGGUUGGAAAGUUUCGGCGGUUGGGGAUGGACUCGCGGCUUAUCAGCUUGUUGGUGGGGUAGUGGCUUACCAAGGCUUUGACGGGUAGCCGGCCUGAGAGGGUGACCGGCCAGAUUGGGACUGAGAUACGGCCCAGCCUGCUACGGGAGGCAGCAGUGGGGAAUAUUGCACAAGGGGCGGAAGCCUGAUGCAGCAACGCCGCGUGCGGGAUGACGGCCUUCGGGUUGUAAACCGCUUUCGCCUGUGACGAAGCGUGAGUGACGGUAAUGGGUAAAGAAGCACCGGCUAACUACGUG